GAUGAAGAACGCAGCGAAAUGCGAUACGUAAUGUGAAUUGCAGAAUUCAGUGAAUCAUCGAAUCUUUGAACGCAUAUUGCGCUCUUUGGUAUUCCGAAGAGCAUGCUUGUUUGAGUAUCAGUAAACACCUCAAAGCUUUUGGAUUUUUUAAUCGAAAAGCUUUGGACUUGAGCAAUCCCAACACCAAUCUUUUUGAGAUCGGUGGCGGGUUGCUUGAAAUGCAGGUGCAGCUGGACAUUCUCCUGAGCUAAAGGCAUAUUCAUUUAGUCCCGUCAAACGGAUUAUUACUUUUGCUGCAGCUAACAUAAAGGGAGUUUGACCGUAUUGGCUGACUGAUGCAGGAUUUCACAAGGGUCGGCAACGAUUCUUGUUAAACUCGAUCUCAAAUCAAGUAAGACUACCCGCUGAACUUAAGCAUAUCAAUAAGCGGAGGA
RNAcentral lists this unclassified non-coding RNA (434 nucleotides) under soil metagenome. RNAcentral's name for it is "partial contains 5.8S ribosomal RNA, internal transcribed spacer 2, and large subunit ribosomal RNA". The stretch from base 1 to 120 matches the Rfam family "5.8S ribosomal RNA", at positions 35 to 154 of the family's 154-position model. The record is from RNAcentral.